AACGAACGCUGGCGGCAUGCCUAACACAUGCAAGUCGAACGAGACCUUCGGGUCUAGUGGCGCACGGGUGCGUAACGCGUGGGAACCUGCCCUUAGGUUCCGAAUAACUCCCCGAAAGGGGUGCUAAUACCGGAUAAUGUCUUCGGACCAAAGAUUUAUCGCCUUUGGCUGGGCCCGCGUUGGAUUCGCUAGUUGGUAGGGUAAAAGCCUACCAAGGCGAGGAUCCAUAGCUGGUCUGGGAGGAUGAUCAGCUACACUGGGACUGAGACACGGCCCAGACUCCUACGGAGGGGAGCAGUGGAGAAUAUAAGACGAGGGGCGAAGGCCUGAUACAGCAAUGCCGCGUAAGUGAUGAUGGCGUUAGGGUUGUAAAGCUCUUUUACCCGGGACGAUAAUGACAGUACCGGGAGAAUAAGCUCCGGCUAACUCCGUG
Molecule: ribosomal RNA, 433 nt
Filed under: uncultured bacterium
Lineage: Bacteria
Description: partial 16S ribosomal RNA
Rfam family: Bacterial small subunit ribosomal RNA
Source: RNAcentral